This 253-nucleotide ribosomal RNA is filed under the name uncultured bacterium. RNAcentral's name for it is "partial 16S ribosomal RNA". It matches the Rfam family "Bacterial small subunit ribosomal RNA", at positions 524 to 776 of the family's 1533-position model. The record is from RNAcentral.
UACGUAGGUGGCAAGCGUUGUCCGGAUUUAUUGGGUUUAAAGGGUGCGUAGGUGGUCUAUUAAGUCAGUGCUGAAAUAUCCCGGCUUAACCGGGAGGGUGGCAUUGAUACUGAUGGACUUGAGUAAAGUUGAGGUAGGCGGAAUUGACGGUGUAGCGGUGAAAUGCUUAGAUAUCAGGAGGAACACCAAUAGCGAAGGCAGCUCGCUGGGACGUUACUGACACUGAGGCGCGAAAGCGUGGGGAGCGAACAGG